This 294-nucleotide ribosomal RNA is filed under the name Wolbachia pipientis. Its description in RNAcentral is "partial 16S ribosomal RNA". It matches the Rfam family "Bacterial small subunit ribosomal RNA", at positions 526 to 819 of the family's 1533-position model. The record is from RNAcentral. Lineage: Bacteria; Pseudomonadati; Pseudomonadota; Alphaproteobacteria; Rickettsiales; Anaplasmataceae.
CGGAGAGGGCUAGCGUUAUUCGGAAUUAUUGGGCGUAAAGGGCGCGUAGGCUGGUUAAUAAGUUAAAAGUGAAAUCCCGAGGCUUAACCUUGGAAUUGCUUUUAAAACUAUUAAUCUAGAGAUUGAAAGAGGAUAGAGGAAUUCCUGAUGUAGAGGUAAAAUUCGUAAAUAUUAGGAGGAACACCAGUGGCGAAGGCGUCUAUCUGGUUCAAAUCUGACGCUGAAGCGCGAAGGCGUGGGGAGCAAACAGGAUUAGAUACCCUGGUAGUCCACGCUGUAAACGAUGAGUGCUAA